AUCACUUAUCAAAGAACUUCAAUUUUGAAUACUUUGAUCAAUUUUUUUGAUCUGGACUGUAGGAUCAACUCUUUGAUCAGCAGCCUUCUUCUUUUUCUUCUUGAUCUGCGAUCUCUAAGUCUCCAACACUACUUUUAAGCAUAUGGAAGAGAGACACCCAAUCUUUGGGCAUGGAAAGGAAGAGAGAGGAGAGGAGGCAUGGAGAGGGGGAG
RNAcentral lists this long non-coding RNA (212 nucleotides) under Elaeis guineensis (African oil palm). Its description in RNAcentral is "long non-coding RNA (EGUI_LNC081421)". Lineage: Eukaryota; Viridiplantae; Streptophyta; Magnoliopsida; Arecales; Arecaceae. The record is from RNAcentral.